UACGUAGGGGGCGAGCGUUAUCCGGAAUCAUUGGGCGUAAAGCGCGUGUAGGCGGUUCACCAAGUCCGCUCUGAAAGCCCAGGGCUCAACCCUGGGAGGCGGGUGGAUACUGGUGGACUUGAGUUCGGAAGAGGAGAUUGGAAUUCCUGGUGUAGCGGUGAAAUGCGCAGAUAUCAGGAGGAACACCAACAGCGAAGGCAGAUCUCUGGGACGUGACUGACGCUGAGACGCGAAAGCGUGGGGAGCAAACAGG
This 253-nucleotide ribosomal RNA is filed under the name uncultured bacterium. Its description in RNAcentral is "partial 16S ribosomal RNA". It matches the Rfam family "Bacterial small subunit ribosomal RNA", at positions 524 to 776 of the family's 1533-position model. The record is from RNAcentral.